GGGGACCAUCCUCCAAGGCUAAAUACUCCUGACUGACCGAUAGUGAACCAGUACCGUGAGGGAAAGGCGAAAAGAACCCCGGCGAGGGGAGUGAAAAAGAACCUGAAACCGUGUACGUACAAGCAGUGGGAGCACCCUUUGGGGUGUGACUGCGUACCUUUUGUAUAAUGGGUCAGCGACUUAUAUUCUGUAGCAAGGUUAACCGAAUAGGGGAGCCGGAGGGAAACCGAGUCUUAACCGGGCGUUAAGUUGCAGGGUAUAGACCCGAAACCCGGUGAUCUAGCCAUGGGCAGGUUGAAGGUUGGGUAACACUAACUGGAGGACCGAACCGACUAAUGUUGAAAAAUUAGCGGAUGACCUGUGGCUGGGGGUGAAAGGCCAAUCAAACCGGGAGAUAGCUGGUUCUCCCCGAAAGCUAUUUAGGUAGCGCCUCGUGAAUUCAUCUCCGGGGGUAGAGCACUGUUUCGGCUAGGGGGCCAUCCCGGCUUACCAACCCGAUGCAAACUGCGAAUACCGGAGAAUGUUAUCACGGGAGACACACGGCGGGUGCUAACGUCCGUCGUGAAGAGGGAAACAACCCAGACCGCCAGCUAAGGUCCCAAAGUCAUGGUUAAGUGGGAAACGAUGUGGGAAGGCCCAGACAGCCAGGAUGUUGGCUUAGAAGCAGCCAUCAUUUAAAGAAAGCGUAAUAGCUCACUGGUCGAGUCGGCCUGCGCGGAAGAUGUAACGGGGCUAAACCAUGCACCGAAGCUGCGGCAGCGACGCUGAUGCGUUGUUGGGUAGGGGAGCGUUCUGUAAGCCUGCGAAGGUGUGUCGUGAGGCAUGCUGGAGGUAUCAGAAGUGCGAAUGCUGACAUAAGUAACGAUAAAGCGGGUGAAAAGCCCGCUCGCCGGAAGACCAAGGGUUCCUGUCCAACGUUAAUCGGGGCAGGGUGAGUCGACCCCUAAGGCGAGGCCGAAAGGCGUAGUCGAUGGGAAACGGGUUAAUAUUCCCGUACUUGGUGUUACUGCGAAGGGGGGACGGAGAAGGCUAUGUUGGCCGGGCGACGGUUGUCCCGGUUUAAGCGUGUAGGUGUGUGUUCCAGGUAAAUCCGGUUCACUUUAACACUGAGGCGUGACGACGAGGCACUACGGUGCUGAAGCAACAAAUGCCCUGCUUCCAGGAAAAGCCUCUAAGCAUCAGGUAACAUCAAAUCGUACCCCAAACCGACACAGGUGGUCAGGUAGAGAAUACCAAGGCGCUUGAGAGAACUCGGGUGAAGGAACUAGGCAAAAUGGUGCCGUAACUUCGGGAGAAGGCACGCUGACAUGUAGGUGAAGUGAUUUACUCAUGGAGCUGAAGUCAGUCGAAGAUACCAGCUGGCUGCAACUGUUUAUUAAAAACACAGCACUGUGCAAACACGAAAGUGGACGUAUACGGUGUGACGCCUGCCCGGUGCCGGAAGGUUAAUUGAUGGGGUCAGCGCAAGCGAAGCUCCUGAUCGAAGCCCCGGUAAACGGCGGCCGUAACUAUAACGGUCCUAAGGUAGCGAAAUUCCUUGUCGGGUAAGUUCCGACCUGCACGAAUGGCGUAAUGAUGGCCAGGCUGUCUCCACCCGAGACUCAGUGAAAUUGAACUCGCUGUGAAGAUGCAGUGUACCCGCGGCAAGACGGAAAGACCCCGUGAACCUUUACUAUAGCUUGACACUGAACAUUGAGCCUUGAUGUGUAGGAUAGGUGGGAGGCUUUGAAGUGUGGACGCCAGUCUGCAUGGAGCCGACCUUGAAAUACCACCCUUUAAUGUUUGAUGUUCUAACGUGGACCCGUGAUCCGGGUUGCGGACAGUGUCUGGUGGGUAGUUUGACUGGGGCGGUCUCCUCCUAAAGAGUAACGGAGGAGCACGAAGGUUGGCUAAUCCUGGUCGGACAUCAGGAGGUUAGUGCAAUGGCAUAAGCCAGCUUGACUGCGAGCGUGACGGCGCGAGCAGGUGCGAAAGCAGGUCAUAGUGAUCCGGUGGUUCUGAAUGGAAGGGCCAUCGCUCAACGGAUAAAAGGUACUCCGGGGAUAACAGGCUGAUACCGCCCAAGAGUUCAUAUCGACGGCGGUGUUUGGCACCUCGAUGUCGGCUCAUCACAUCCUGGGGCUGAAGUAGGUCCCAAGGGUAUGGCUGUUCGCCAUUUAAAGUGGUACGCGAGCUGGGUUUAGAACGUCGUGAGACAGUUCGGUCCCUAUCUGCCGUGGGCGCUGGAGAACUGAGGGGGGCUGCUCCUAGUACGAGAGGACCGGAGUGGACGCAUCACUGGUGUUCGGGUUGUCAUGCCAAUGGCACUGCCCGGUAGCUAAAUGCGGAAGAGAUAAGUGCUGAAAGCAUCUAAGCACGAAACUUGCCCCGAGAUGAGUUCUCCCUGAGACUUUAGGUCUCCUGAAGGAACGU
This 2412-nucleotide ribosomal RNA is filed under the name Salmonella enterica subsp. enterica serovar Welikade. RNAcentral's name for it is "partial 23S ribosomal RNA". It matches the Rfam family "Bacterial large subunit ribosomal RNA", at positions 448 to 2838 of the family's 2925-position model. The record is from RNAcentral. Lineage: Bacteria; Pseudomonadati; Pseudomonadota; Gammaproteobacteria; Enterobacterales; Enterobacteriaceae.